CCUACGGGAGGCAGCAGUGAGGAAUAUUGGUCAAUGGUCGGGAGACUGAACCAGCCAAGCCGCGUGAGGGAUGAAGGUACAGAGUAUCGUAAACCUCUUUUGUCAGGGAACAAAGGCGGGGACGUGUCCCCGGAUGAGUGUACCUGAAGAAAAAGCAUCGGCUAACUCCGUGCCAGCAGCCGCGGUAAUACGGAGGAUGCGAGCGUUAUCCGGAUUUAUGGGGUUUAAAGGGUGCGCAGGCGGUCUGUUAAGUCAGAGGUCAAAGCCCGGGGCUCAAACCCGGCCCGCCGUUGAAACUGGCAGUCUCGAGUUGGAGAGAAGUAUGCGGAAUGCGCGGUGUAGCGGUGAAAUGCAUAGAUAUCGCGCAGAACUCCGAUUGCGAAGGCAGCAUGCCGGCUCCACACUGACGCUGAGGCACGAAAGCGUGGGUAUCGAACAGGAUUAGAUACCCGGGUAGUC
This 459-nucleotide ribosomal RNA is filed under the name uncultured bacterium. Its description in RNAcentral is "partial 16S ribosomal RNA". It matches the Rfam family "Bacterial small subunit ribosomal RNA", at positions 338 to 795 of the family's 1533-position model. The record is from RNAcentral.